Molecule: ribosomal RNA, 435 nt
Filed under: uncultured Clostridiales Family XIV bacterium
Lineage: Bacteria; Bacillati; Bacillota; Clostridia; Eubacteriales; Clostridiales Family XIV. Incertae Sedis
Description: bacterial SSU rRNA
Rfam family: Bacterial small subunit ribosomal RNA
Source: RNAcentral
ACGGAAGGCAGCAGUGGGGAAUAUUGCACAGUGGGCGAAAGCCUGAUGCAGCGACGCCGCGUGAGUGAAGAAGUAUUUCGGUAUGUAAAGCUCUAUCAGCAGGGAAGAAAAUGACAGUACCUGACUAAGAAGCCCCGGCUAACUACGUGCCAGCAGCCGCGGUAAUACGUAGGGGGCAAGCGUUAUCCGGAUUUACUGGGUGUAAAGGGAGCGCAGGUGGCAAGGCAAGCCAGAAGUGAAAACCCGGGGCUCAACCCCGCGGAUUGCUUUUGGAACUGUCGAGCUAGAUUGCGGGAGAGGUAAGUGGAAUUCCUAGUGUAGCGGUGAAAUGCGUAGAUAUUAGGAGGAACACCAGUGGCGAAGGCGGCUUACUGGACCGUAAAUGACGCUGAGGCUCGAAAGCGUGGGGAGCAAACAGGAUUAGAUACCCUGGUA